GAGUACGGCCGCAAGGCUGAAACUUAAAGGAAUUGGCGGGGGAGCACUACAACGGGUGGAGCCUGCGGUUUAAUUGGACUCAACGCCGGAAAACUCACCGGGGGCGACAGCAAUAUGUAGGUCAGGUUAAAGGUCUUACCUGAAUCGCUGAGAGGAGGUGCAUGGCCGUCGUCAGUUCGUACUGUGAAGCAUCCUGUUAAGUCAGACAACGAGCAAGACCCGUGCCCACUGUUACCAGCAUAUCCUUUAUGGAUGAUGGGGACUCUGUGGGGACCGCUGCUGCUAAAGCAGAGGAAGGUGCGGGCUACGGUAGGUCAGUAUGCCCCGAAUCUCCCGGGCUACACGCGGGCUACAAUGGUUGGGACAAUGGGUAUCUACUCCGAAAGGAGUUGGCAAUCUCUUAAACCCAAUCGUAGUUCGAAUUGAGGGCUGUAACUCGCCCUCAUGAAGCUGGAAUCCGUAGUAAUCGCGUUUCAACAUAGCGCGGUGAAUCUGUCCCUGCUCCUUGCACACACCGCCCGUCAAACCAUCCGAGUGAGGUAUGGGUGAGGGCACGAACUUAGUGUCGUGCUCGAACCUAAAUUUCGCAAGGAGGGUUAAGUCGUAACAAGGUAGCCGUAGGGGAAUCUGCGGCUGGAUCACCUCCU
Molecule: ribosomal RNA, 647 nt
Filed under: uncultured archaeon
Lineage: Archaea
Description: bacterial SSU rRNA
Rfam family: Archaeal small subunit ribosomal RNA
Source: RNAcentral